GGUGGGGAUGACGUCAAGUCAUCAUGGCCCUUACGAGUAGGGCUACACACGUGCUACAAUGGCGUAUACAAAGAGAAGCGACCUCGCGAGAGCAAGCGGAACUCAUAAAGUGCGUCGUAGUCCGGAUUGGAGUCUGCAACUCGACUCCAUGAAGUCGGAAUCGCUAGUAAUCGUAGAUCAGAAUGCUACGGUGAAUACGUUCCCGGGCCUUGUACACACCGCC
Molecule: ribosomal RNA, 223 nt
Filed under: Providencia rettgeri
Lineage: Bacteria; Pseudomonadati; Pseudomonadota; Gammaproteobacteria; Enterobacterales; Morganellaceae
Description: partial 16S ribosomal RNA
Rfam family: Bacterial small subunit ribosomal RNA
Source: RNAcentral